Molecule: ribosomal RNA, 484 nt
Filed under: uncultured bacterium
Lineage: Bacteria
Description: partial 16S ribosomal RNA
Rfam family: Bacterial small subunit ribosomal RNA
Source: RNAcentral
AUUGAACGCUGGCGGCAGGCCUAACACAUGCAAGUCGAGCGGAUGAAGGGAGCUUGCUCCUGGAUUCAGCGGCGGACGGGUGAGUAAUGCCUAGGAAUCUGCCUGGUAGUGGGGGAUAACGUCCGGAAACGGGCGCUAAUACCGCAUACGUCCUGAGGGAGAAAGUGGGGGAUCUUCGGACCUCACGCUAUCAGAUGAGCCUAGGUCGGAUUAGCUAGUUGGUGGGGUAAAGGCCUACCAAGGCGACGAUCCGUAACUGGUCUGAGAGGAUGAUCAGUCACACGGGAACUGAGGCACGGUCCAGACUCCUACGGGAGGCAGCAGUGGAGAAUAUUAGACAAUGGGCGAGAGCCUGAUCCAGCCAUGCCGCGUGUGUGGAGAAGGUCUUCGGAUUGUAAAGCACUUUAAGUUGGGAGGAAGGGCAGUAAGUUAAUACCUUGCUGUUUUGACGUUACCAACAGAAUAAGCACCGGCUAACUUCGUG